UGGGGAAUAUUGCACAAUGGGGGAAACCCUGAUGCAGCGACGCCGCGUGAGCGAAGAAGUAUUUCGGUAUGUAAAGCUCUAUCAGCAGGGAAGAAAAUGACGGUACCCGAGGAGGAAGCCACGGCUAACUACGUGCCAGCAGCCGCGGUAAUACGUAGGUGGCAAGCGUUGUCCGGAAUUACUGGGUGUAAAGGGAGAGUAGGCGGGAUUGCAAGUCCGUUGUUAAAUCUAUCGGCUUAACCGGUAGCUGCGGCGGAAACUGUAGUUCUUGAGUGAAGUAGAGGCAGGCGGAAUUCCUAGUGUAGCGGUGAAAUGCGUAGAUAUUAGGAGGAACACCAGUGGCGAAGGCGGCCUGCUGGGCUUUAACUGACGCUGAGGCUCGAAAGUGUGGGGAGCAAACAGGAUUAGAUACCCUGGUAGU
RNAcentral lists this ribosomal RNA (421 nucleotides) under uncultured Oscillospiraceae bacterium. Its description in RNAcentral is "bacterial SSU rRNA". It matches the Rfam family "Bacterial small subunit ribosomal RNA", at positions 355 to 794 of the family's 1533-position model. The record is from RNAcentral. Lineage: Bacteria; Bacillati; Bacillota; Clostridia; Eubacteriales; Oscillospiraceae.